UGUCCUAAGACAAAAACACAUCAAAGAGGC
Molecule: non-coding RNA, 30 nt
Filed under: Mus musculus (house mouse)
Lineage: Eukaryota; Metazoa; Chordata; Mammalia; Rodentia; Muridae
Source: RNAcentral